GAUCCUGGCUCAGAUUGAACGCUGGCGGAAUGCUUUACACAUGCAAGUCGAACGGUAGAGGGGGCAACCCUCGAGAGUGGCGAACGGGUGAGUAAUAUAUCGGAACGUGCCCAGUCGUGGGGGAUAACGUAGCGAAAGUUACGCUAAUACCGCAUACGAUCUACGGAUGAAAGCGGGGGAUCGCAAGACCUCGCGCGAUUGGAGCGGCCGAUAUCAGAUUAGGUAGUUGGUGGGGUAAAGGCUCACCAAGCCAACGAUCUGUAGCUGGUCUGAGAGGACGACCAGCCACACUGGAACUGAGACACGGUCCAGACUCCUACGGGAGGCAGCAGUGGGGAAUUUUGGACAAUGGACGCAAGUCUGAUCCAGCCAUUCCGCGUGCAGGAUGAAGGCCCUCGGGUUGUAAACUGCUUUUGUACGGAACGAAAAGGUUUCCAUUAAUACUGGGAGCUCAUGACGGUACCGUAAGAAUAAGCACCGGCUAACUACGUG
This 492-nucleotide ribosomal RNA is filed under the name uncultured bacterium. RNAcentral describes it as "bacterial SSU rRNA". It matches the Rfam family "Bacterial small subunit ribosomal RNA", at positions 15 to 507 of the family's 1533-position model. The record is from RNAcentral.